AAUGAACGCUGGCGGCGUGCUUAACACAUGCAAGUCGAGCGAGAACGCGCCCUUCGGGGUGUUAGUAAAGCGGCGAACGGGUGAGUAACACGUGGGCAAUCUGCCUGGGAGCGGGGGAUAACCUGGGGAAACUCGGGCUAAUACCGCAUACGUCUUCGAGGUCACGGCCUCGAAGGGAAAGCUGGCCACUACAUGUAAGCUGGCACUCCCAGAGGAGCCCGCGGUCGAUUAGCUAGAUGGUGAGGUAACGGCUCACCAUGGCGACGAUCGAUAGCCGGCCUGAGAGGGUGAUCGGCCACACUGGGACUGAGACACGGCCCAGACUCCUACGGGAGGCAGCAGUGGGGAAUAUUGGACAAUGGGGGCAACCCUGAUCCAGCAACGCCGCGUGGAGGAUGAAGGCCUUCGGGUCGUAAACUCCUGUCAGGUGGGACGAAAAGGCGUCGUUCAAUAGGCGGCGCUCAUGACGGUACCACCAGAGGAAGCCCCGGCUAACUCCGUGCCAGCAGCCGCGGUAAUACGGAGGGGGCGAGCGUUAUUCGGAAUUACUGGGCGUAAAGGGCGCGUAGGCGGCCUGGCAAGUCGAUAGUGAAAUCCCUCGGCUCAACCGAGGAACUGCUAUCNAAACUGCUUGGCU
Molecule: ribosomal RNA, 637 nt
Filed under: uncultured bacterium
Lineage: Bacteria
Description: bacterial SSU rRNA
Rfam family: Bacterial small subunit ribosomal RNA
Source: RNAcentral